ACACAGCAGAAUCUUGAGAGGGAGAGGCAGAGCCUAGAGACCCUCAAGGGAGAGAUGUCUGCAAAUGAUGGGACUGUGGGACUGUGGAACAGUGGGUCAGAUGUCCGGGACUGGGCUAAACAUGAACCCCCUGCAGCCAGUAAUGAUUCUCUGCUACAAGUGAGAUCAAGAAUUGAGGAGACUUCUCUGGGCCUAAGGCAGCAUAGGGCACGGCUUUAUAGCCAAACAGGUACAAAGUUUGUGAAAGACAUCAAAUGUUUUAACAAUGUUUUUCACAUUUGAUUAUUAUCGGAAUGUGUCUUCUCUGAUGUCUCCCAGACAGCAACUAAGGACGCUCUGUGAUCCGCAACCACAUGUGGAGGGAGCAGAAACAGCUUGAGAUCUAUGUGGCUCAACAUGAUACAAUGGUCCAACCCCAAGAGCAAAUCGGCCCUGUCAGUAACACAGUACAAGCUGGCUACAUAUUUCCUUGGCAGUUAACCCCCAGUGAUGGUGUGGAUUUCCUUGCCAAAAAAAAGAUUUUUGAUGAGGUAAUGCACAUAAGAAGACUUGAGGAGGAAGUGAUGAUCCUUGCUACAGAAGUAAGGCAACACUGGGAGUUCCUCAAGAGAAGGGAGCAGACAUUGAGUGGUCUAUCCAUCAGCACUGAGGGUAAGCCAUUACCCAUUACAAUAAAAACAUCAACAGAUCACACUCAUCUACCCAUAGCUGUAUUUUUCUUCCAUAGAAAGAUUUAAGUAGUCUGUUUUGCUGAUUUUUUUAAUGCCAUUUUCAGGACUCAAACAGAUCUCACAUGCAUCUCACUUAUGUGAUCUAUGUAUGUGUGUAACAUACAGGAAACUUGCAUGUAUUUCAAAGAAGAAAAAUAUAAAUGUAAUUUUGACUUUUUGAACAUUUUGUUAAUUACUAUGACGGUAGCCACGGCAGCCUCUCUGAAGAAGGACUUUGAGGUCUUCAGGCAGAGUUCAACAGAAGGAGGUCUCAGCUGCAGUCUCACCUUAUCACUGUUAGAAAUAAAUACUUGCAAGUGGUAAGGGCAGGACUUGAUGGGUCUGCACUGGACCUUGAAGAGGGAGAAGAGCAGUUUGAGGAGCAAGAUCUAGCAAGUGAUGUGGAGAGCUACUCGGAUGAGGAGGACAUGGACAUGCAGGUAAUUAAGGACAUGAGAUUGUACACAAGCAAAUUACUGUAUGUCAUAGAUAUUGACAUGGGUUGACAUUGUUUGAUUAUUCUGUGACAAAUGCAGUGCUCUAGGUUUGUGUUUAACUAAUUCCUGUUUAUCUUCUCUUUUUCUCCCAAAUAAUAAAUGGACUGGACAGUGCAGUUGGGGAAUAGAAUCCAGAGGACAACAUACUCCUAAUGACAUGCCCAUUGAAACUGAGUCUGGCACUUAGAGAUUUGUUUUUAUGAAAAGUGCAUUACAAAUCAAAUGUAUUAUUAUUGUUACGAUGUAUUUCUAUAUGUUGUUGUUGUUGUUGUUAUGAUAAUACUGAAAUAGAUCAUAGAUAGAUGUGAUCUCAAGUGGACAGGUCUAAGUACAGACAGCUGUGAAUACACCUAAUGUGUCUUUAAUGCAUCUUGAGAUCAAAUCACUCAGACCACAUUCAGAGGUGAUCCAAAAAAGUCACAUUUACAGUAUUUACAGCAAAUAUUUGAUAUUCUGCGUAAUGUUGUAGUGUCACUGCCUGUGAUCUUGUCGAAUGUUUAUUGUUUAUUUGUUUUGGUUUGCUGGUUCAAUCCCAACACCCUGUAUAUCCCAGUCAGGGAUGGACCAUAACUCUGUAUAUUCACUUGAAUACUUACUGUAGACCCUGAAUGUACUUUUGACCCCAUGACGUGUCUAUGAAGGUUCAUGGUACUUUGAGCCUGUUUUGAAAUCAGUGGAUGAAUUUUCUUUUCUUUCCUAAGAAUAGGCAAUAAACUGUUUGUCACAAGAGAAUUACCAAUCAUGUUAACUGGCAGUCAAGUUUAAAGUGCUUGCAUUUUUUUUUUUUGAAAAGUUCGAUUCGAACUUGGAUGAAGAUUCCUCACCAAAGCAUGUCUGUAUGGCUUUAUCUCUUCACAAUGAAGAAAUGAAGAAAGAUUCAUAUUGUUUGAAAUGUUUGCUCUGUUUACGGCACACAAACAUUGUAGCAUAUGCUACAAAGUCCUCAGUUUUAUUGUAUAGGUUCUACAAGGAAGUCAGUGCAUUCAGUGGAUUGUCUGAGUCAUUAGGUUUUGCAAAUGCAUUGUGGUAACAACACAUUAAAGAAUGCCUGAAUACUUAAAAACAAGCACUUGGAACACAAAUAAAGUUUGACCAGAUGUACAGUAUGUAGUAUGUAGCUAUGCUUUGACUCAAUUAAAUGCAGUUGUGUACUUUGUCCACCUCUUUUUGAAUGUUUAUUCAUUGUCUCUUCAUGGGUCACAUAAAAAAUAAAUAAAUAAUUUUAAUAGUCAUUCAUGCCUCAUCAUUCCUGCACUGAGGACACUUAAUUUAGAAAGAUAGAAAUAUUGAUGUUUAAUUUAAAAACAUCUCAAGUUUGAGUUUAUUUGCACAUUAAAAAGGAAAAUGAAGCUCACAGGCUACAUGAAAAAUGAGGACACAGGCCCUAUUAAUUUCUAUUGUCU
RNAcentral lists this long non-coding RNA (2610 nucleotides) under Sparus aurata (gilthead seabream). RNAcentral's name for it is "lncRNA (ENSSAUG00010001223.1)". Lineage: Eukaryota; Metazoa; Chordata; Actinopteri; Spariformes; Sparidae. The record is from RNAcentral.